Chiloscyllium plagiosum (whitespotted bambooshark) is the source of this 406-nucleotide non-coding RNA. NCBI's taxonomy places the organism in Eukaryota, Metazoa, Chordata, Chondrichthyes, Orectolobiformes, Hemiscylliidae. The record is from RefSeq and is a predicted model, not a curated record.
AACGUGUCGCCUUGUUUCCCUCUCCCCAGUGCGGAAUGUCGUCCCAUUGAGUCAGCGUUCCGGAACGUUCCAUCCUCACGCUGCAAAGCACCGACCCACCUUCCCCUUGGAAGUGCCGAUCGGGAUGGUACCUCAGUGCUAACCGGGGAGGAUCGAUAAGGAGACCCCUCCUUCACACCCAACCCCGAGAGAGGACAUGGAGGUCAAAGGGUCCCUCACGACGACAGCGACGGGCAACCUCGGCGCUCUUGGCUCCCAGCGGUACACCAGGGCCGUGAAGGUGAGUACGGACAGGGUGAAGGAGUUGGCAGAGCGACAGCGGGCCAUCGAGGAGAUGCUGAGGAGGAAGAUGGCCGAGCUGAGGGAGCUCUGCCUGCAGGAAGCGGUGAGUGUGAUGAUCCCAACA